GCAGUCGCGACCGAGUGGUUAAGGCGAUGGACUAGAAAUUUAUUGAGGUCUCCCCGCACAACUUCGAAUCCUGUCGACUGCG
This 82-nucleotide transfer RNA is filed under the name Ixodes scapularis (black-legged tick). It matches the Rfam family "tRNA". From Rfam's summary of the family: Transfer RNA (tRNA) molecules are approximately 80 nucleotides in length. Their secondary structure includes four short double-helical elements and three loops (D, anti-codon, and T loops). Further hydrogen bonds mediate the characteristic L-shaped molecular structure. tRNAs have two regions of fundamental functional importance: the anti-codon, which is responsible for specific mRNA codon recognition, and the 3' end, to which the tRNAs corresponding amino acid is attached (by aminoacyl-tRNA synthetases). tRNAs cope with the degeneracy of the genetic code in two manners: having more than one tRNA (with a specific anti-codon) for a particular amino acid; and 'wobble' base-pairing, i.e. permitting non-standard base-pairing at the 3rd anti-codon position. The record is from Rfam by way of RNAcentral. Lineage: Eukaryota; Metazoa; Arthropoda; Arachnida; Ixodida; Ixodidae.